CUGACCAGAGACGGUGACAGUCCGGUAUUCGAAGCAAGACGAAGCAUAGUGGUAUCCUGAGUAGCGCGGAACACGAGGAAUUCUGCGUGAAUCUGCCGGGACCAUCCGGUAAGGCUAAAUACUCCCGAGAGACCGAUAGUGGACCAGUACCGUGAGGGAAAGGUGAAAAGCACUUCGAACAGAAGAGUGAAACAGUACCUGAAACCGUGCGCCUACAAGCGGUCGGAGCUCGUAAGAGUGACGGCGUGCCUUUUGCAUAAUGAACCUACGAGUUACCGUAUCUGGCAAGGUUAAGGGUCACGAGACCUGCAGCCGAAGCGAAAGCGAGUCUGAAGAGGGCGUCCAGUCAGUUGCGGUAGACGCGAAACCAAGUGAUCUACCCUUGGCCAGGAUGAAGUCUGGGUAACACCAGAUGGAGGUCCGCACCAAUAAGCGUUGAAAAGCUUCUGGAUGAGCUGAGGGUAGGGGUGAAAGGCUAAUCAAACUUGGAGAUAGCUCGUACUCCCCGAAAUGCAUUUAGGUGCAGCCUCGCGGGUUACUGAUGUGAGGUAGAGCGACUGAUUGGAUGCGAGGGCUUCACCGCCUAUCAAGUCCUGACAAACUCCGAAUGCGCAUCAGUUUUACCGCGGGAGUGAGGGCAUGGGUGCUAAGGUCCGUGCCCGAGAGGAGAAGAAUCCGGACUAUCAGCUAAGGCCCCGAAAUGACAGCUAAGUUAAACUAACGAAGUCUGAUUGCUAAGACAGCUAGGAUGUUGGCUUGGAAGCAGCCAUUCAUUUAAAGAGUGCGUAACAGCUCACUAGUCGAGGAAUCGGGCGUGGAUAAUAAUCGGGUAUGAAGUUGUCUGCCGAAGCUAUAGAAUCAGCAAUGAUUGGUAGGGGAGCAUUCCAUUCGGCGUUGAAGGCGUGGCGUGAGCCAUUCUGGAGCGUAUGGAAAAGCAAAUGUAGGUAUAAGUAACGAUAAAGGGGGUGAGAAACCCCCUCGCCGAAAGACUAAGGUUUCCUGAUCAACGCUAAUCGGAUCAGGGUAAGUCGGGUCCUAAGGUUCAGCCGAACGGCGAGACCGAUGGCAGAAACGGUUAAUAUUCCGUUACUACCUUUGAGGGUGACGUGGGGACGCAGGAGUGACACCGCCGCCGGCUGACGGAAUAGCCGGUUAAAGAGUGUAGACGUUGAUUUCCGCAGGCAAAUCCACGGAAAGAGUCGAACUUGACAGUA
This 1214-nucleotide ribosomal RNA is filed under the name Phocaeicola plebeius. RNAcentral describes it as "partial 23S ribosomal RNA". It matches the Rfam family "Bacterial large subunit ribosomal RNA", at positions 351 to 1571 of the family's 2925-position model. Lineage: Bacteria; Pseudomonadati; Bacteroidota; Bacteroidia; Bacteroidales; Bacteroidaceae. The record is from RNAcentral.